GAGGCCGAUAGGCGUAGGCGAUGGACAACAGGUUGAUAUUCCUGUACCAGUUGUUUUUGUUUGAGCAAUGGAGGGACGCAGUAGGCUAAGGAAUGCAUGCGAUUGGAAGUGCAUGUCCAAGCAAUGAGUCUUGAGUAGAGUUAAAUGCUUUACUCUUUAAGGACAAGUUGUGACGGGGAGCGAAAUAAUAGUAGCGAAGUUCCUGAUGUCACACUGCCAAGAAAAGCUUCUAGUGAGAAAACAACUGCCCGUACCGUAAACCGACACAGGUAGUCGAGGAGAGUAUCCUAAGGUGAGCGAGCGAACUCUCGUUAAGGAACUCGGCAAAAUGACCCCGUAACUUCGGGAGAAGGGGUGCUGACUUCGGUCAGCCGCAGUGAAUAGGCCCAAGCGACUGUUUAUCAAAAACACAGGUCUCUGCAAAAUCGUAAGAUGAAGUAUAGGGGCUGACGCCUGCCCGGUGCUGGAAGGUUAAGAGGAUGGGUUAGCUUCGGCGAAGCUCAGAAUUGAAGCCCCAGUAAACGGCGGCCGUAACUAUAACGGUCCUAAGGUAGCGAAAUUCCUUGUCGGGUAAGUUCCGACCCGCACGAAAGGCGUAACGAUUUGGGCACUGUCUCAACGAGAGACUCGGUGAAAUUUUAGUACCUGUGAAGAUGCAGGUUACCCGCGACAGGACGGAAAGACCCCAUGGAGCUUUACUGUAGUUUGAUAUUGAGUGUUUGUACCACAUGUACAGGAUAGGUAGGAGCCGAUGAGACCGGAACGCUAGUUUCGGAGGAGGCGCUGGUGGGAUACUACCCUUGUGUUAUGAACCCUCUAACCCGCACCACUAAUCGUGGUGGGAGACAGUGUCAGAUGGGCAGUUUGACUGGGGCGGUCGCCUCCUAAAAGGUAACGGAGGCGCCCAAAGGUUCCCUCAGAAUGGUUGGAAAUCAUUCGAAGAGUGUAAAGGCAGAAGGGAGCUUGACUGCGAGACCUACAAGUCGAGCAGGGACGAAAGUCGGGCUUAGUGAUCCGGUGGUUCCGCAUGGAAGGGCCAUCGCUCAACGGAUAAAAGCUACCC
RNAcentral lists this ribosomal RNA (1063 nucleotides) under Listeria monocytogenes. RNAcentral's name for it is "partial 23S ribosomal RNA". It matches the Rfam family "Bacterial large subunit ribosomal RNA", at positions 1398 to 2468 of the family's 2925-position model. The record is from RNAcentral. Lineage: Bacteria; Bacillati; Bacillota; Bacilli; Caryophanales; Listeriaceae.